UAACCUAUCCAGCAAUGGGUAGCUGAACAAUCAGAAGUCAGCAGAGGUCAUAGUACCAUUCUAACUCGAGAAAGAAUGGGAAGGAC
Non-coding RNA from Bacillus sp. X1(2014), 86 nucleotides. NCBI's taxonomy places the organism in Bacteria, Bacillati, Bacillota, Bacilli, Caryophanales, Bacillaceae. The record is from Rfam.